GCAAACGUGACUAUGCGACAAUACUAGU
Molecule: non-coding RNA, 28 nt
Filed under: Bombyx mori (domestic silkworm)
Lineage: Eukaryota; Metazoa; Arthropoda; Insecta; Lepidoptera; Bombycidae
Source: RNAcentral